GACGAACGCUGGCGGCGUGCUUAACACAUGCAAGUCGAACGGAAAGACCCUGCUUUUGUGGGGUGCUCGAGUGGCGAACGGGUGAGUAACACGUGAGUAACCUGCCCUUGACUUUGGGAUAACUUCAGGAAACUGGGGCUAAUACCGGAUAGGAGCUCCUGCUGCAUGGUGGGGGUUGGAAAGUUUCGGCGGUUGGGGAUGGACUCGCGGCUUAUCAGCUUGUUGGUGGGGUAGUGGCUUACCAAGGCUUUGACGGGUAGCCGGCCUGAGAGGGUGACCGGCAACAUUGGGACUGAGAGACGGCCCAGACUCCUACGGGAGGCAGCAGUGGGGAAUAUUGCACAAUGGGCGGAAGCCUGAUGCAGCAACGCCGCGUGCGGGAUGACGGCCUUCGGGUUGUAAACCGAUUUCGCCUGUGACGAAGCGUGAGUGACGGUAAUGGGUAAAGAAGCACCGGCUAACUACGUG
RNAcentral lists this ribosomal RNA (468 nucleotides) under uncultured bacterium. Its description in RNAcentral is "partial 16S ribosomal RNA". It matches the Rfam family "Bacterial small subunit ribosomal RNA", at positions 28 to 507 of the family's 1533-position model. The record is from RNAcentral.